GACUCUCGGCAACGGAUAUCUCGGCUCUCGCAUCGAUGAAGAACGUAGCGAAAUGCGAUACUUGGUGUGAUUGCAGAAUCCCGUGAACCAUCGAGUCUUUGAACGCAGUUGCGCCCGAAGCCACUAGGCCGAGGGCACGCCUGCCUGGGCGUCA
RNAcentral lists this ribosomal RNA (154 nucleotides) under Prunus persica (peach). RNAcentral describes it as "rRNA 5_8S_rRNA". It matches the Rfam family "5.8S ribosomal RNA". From Rfam's summary of the family: 5.8S ribosomal RNA (5.8S rRNA) is a component of the large subunit of the eukaryotic ribosome. Lineage: Eukaryota; Viridiplantae; Streptophyta; Magnoliopsida; Rosales; Rosaceae. The record is from RNAcentral.